AACCGCAAGAACUUUCACAUCCACCAGAGCCAAAAGUUGCAAUUUUCCUCUGACAAACCACCCUGGGAUCCAGAGUGUGGUAAUGCUUCCCUGUAUCCUAGCAAUUGAUUGUUUAGCUAUCGCAUCCAGGACGACGGGAGAUUUGUGAAUGAACACGGGGAGGGUUUGCAUACGCCGUAUCUCUGCCGGCCCCGGCCCCGGGCAACUCGGCCAUUUUGAUAGGCCUCUCCGUGGACCGAGAUGCCACUGGAAGUCAAUGCAUGGCUAUCGUUAACCGGGAAUCCUCAGGGAGAGGGAGAUCCAAAGUGGCUUUCCACACAAAGUUUGUGACCUUGGCAUGACCAGGUAGGGGAAAACCAUGAAGAUUUCUCCACUACUGACACAUCUUCCAAAGUCGGGACUCUGAAACCACCUUGGAAGAGUUCCAUGAUUCCCCUGCCCAGCUGCAGACCAACGUCCACAAGCCCGGUUCUGUGGGGCUGCAUUGCCACCAACAGUCUCCAAUUAUAACGAAGCUCUUGAACGAUCUGUGGCCGACUGACUCACUGGCAAAUCACCUUUAAGCCACCGUGUCUGUAUAUUUCCUCUGGGUCCUGUAGAUGCUGUUUCUCCUGAGCAUGUGAAAAACUGUUGCGAAGAUGAAUGGAAUAUUUUUCUCUCCCUCCAGUUCUAUAGAUGACAUGCUCCCGUGGGGAUAUCCAGAAACCAGUCAGCUAAUACUCGGGACAGAGUUCCAUUGUGCAAAAGAGAGUAAAACAUAGGGCUCUAUUCAAUCCCAAAUGAGGUAAACAGACAUUCUGCUCUUUUCCUCAAAGAACUUUUCUGCAGUCUGACGGAGAAGGCGGCUUUGAUUCCAAACAACAACAAAAAAAACAAAAACCAAAUCACAGGUUAUAUGUUUGCACAGUGGUGUAUGAGUCAGAUGCAGGGGAAGAUAUAUUGUCUGAGCACAUGAAAACCAUUAGGGGAUCAUGUAGUAGCUUUUUUUCUUUUCUCAUUUAAACCAAUAAAGGAAAAGGCAUAAGC
Long non-coding RNA from Ornithorhynchus anatinus (platypus), 1026 nucleotides. RefSeq lists it as uncharacterized. The transcript has 2 exons. Lineage: Eukaryota; Metazoa; Chordata; Mammalia; Monotremata; Ornithorhynchidae. The record is from RefSeq and is a predicted model, not a curated record.